CGUUUAUACAUUUAUUUGGCAUAACAAAGUAUGAAAAUGCAUAUGUUGACAAAAGAAUAUAAUCAUGAUACAAUAAUUCUAAUUAAGAAUAUAAAAUGAUUAAUGACAAUAAAAUUUAAAAUAAUUAAAUCAUAAUUAGUCUAUAUUUAGAAACAGCAUUUCACAAGAAUCUUUGUCA
Molecule: long non-coding RNA, 178 nt
Organism: Pecten maximus
Lineage: Eukaryota; Metazoa; Mollusca; Bivalvia; Pectinida; Pectinidae
Exons: 3
Source: RefSeq, a predicted model, not a curated record